This is a long non-coding RNA of Mus musculus (house mouse), 509 nucleotides long. RefSeq annotates it as predicted gene 15589. The transcript is spliced from 4 exons. The record is from RefSeq and is a predicted model, not a curated record. NCBI's taxonomy places the organism in Eukaryota, Metazoa, Chordata, Mammalia, Rodentia, Muridae.
UCUGUCUCAGUCUUUAGAGUCUAUGAGAAUGACCAACCCUGAGUCCUCCCUGUCUCUUAUUUAACAUGGAGACCUCAGGGUAGAAAGAUUCCCUUCUAGAGAGCAGUGUGAGUUCUCACCAAAUGGCAAGGCUGGCAAGGUCACACUCUCUGACAUCUGGGAAGCGAAGUGAGGUCGCACGGCCUCAAAGCCAGUGCUACAGAAACCCAGAAUGAGCCACCUUGCAACCUCCAUCUUCUCAGCAGCUCCUCUGUGGCCAACAGUCACAAGGGACCAAGGUAAUCAAGAGUCCUUGGAGCAGGCCAAAUCAUAUCACCAGUUCCCUUGGGCUCUCCGAGGAAUGAAUACACAGUCCAGUGCCCUCCAUGUUGAUUUCUGAACUGAGAGGCUUGUGAGGUGAGUUCCCCAGUCCUACCAUCCAGACCUGCACCGGGGAGACAGGCUUCAGAGCAGAUGUUGAGUGCUCAGCUUUGGAAGGUCUGAUGAUGAUCUCUGCACUGGUCACCUGC